RNAcentral lists this non-coding RNA (26 nucleotides) under Rattus norvegicus (Norway rat). The record is from RNAcentral. Lineage: Eukaryota; Metazoa; Chordata; Mammalia; Rodentia; Muridae.
GAAGUACAGGCCCUACAUAUGUAUGC